Molecule: unclassified non-coding RNA, 538 nt
Filed under: Hevea brasiliensis (rubber tree)
Lineage: Eukaryota; Viridiplantae; Streptophyta; Magnoliopsida; Malpighiales; Euphorbiaceae
Source: RNAcentral
CACUGAUACUUCCAUUGGAGAUCUCUCUGGUGUUCACAUUGUCACUGGUGCUCAGCUUGGUGUUUGGGAUUUUGGAGCCAAAAAUGUGUUGCACCUCAAACUCCUGUUCUCUAAAGUUCCAGGUUGUACAAUAAGACGGUCUGUAUGGGACCAUAGCCCCUCCAAUCCUUAUGCACAGCAACCCAAUGGAGCAUCAUCAUCAAUAUCAAAUGAGAAAACCCCCAGUGAUAAGAAGGAAGAUAGUUCAAGCAAUGUUGGGAAACUGGCAAAAAUCGUUGACGUAAGCGAAAUGUCAAAGGGACCGCAAGAUAUUCCAGGUCAUUGGUUGGUAACAGGAGCCAAGCUUGGGGUGGACAAGGGAAGGAUUGUUUUACGUGUGAAGUACUCCUUAUUGAAUUAUUGAUAAUUGCUUCUAUAUUUUUAGGAUUACCAUAUUUUUUUUUCCACUUGUAUGCAUAGUUCAGGCAUUCUUUGCACAGGAUUCCUAGUUCUUUUGUUUCUCUGUACAUUGAGUUCUUUUUGUUUGUUGGUUUUAGCC